Molecule: long non-coding RNA, 307 nt
Organism: Hyaena hyaena (striped hyena)
Lineage: Eukaryota; Metazoa; Chordata; Mammalia; Carnivora; Hyaenidae
Exons: 3
Source: RefSeq, a predicted model, not a curated record
CAUUUUUCAUCAACCUUAUUUCCAUUUUGUUUGCCUUUGUGGAAGAGCGGCUGAAGACCACUCACUUUACCAAAGAGUUCCAACAGCCUCAGAGAAGCUCCAGCCAAACAAAAUUUGAAUAGAUUUCUCCCUUCCCAGAAAAUAGAAGACUUUACAAUGAAGUGCUAUAAUCAGUUGGUCUAAAGUGAAGACUUCUUUCUUCUGAUGUUCUAUCCUUGGGUGCAACCUCACUGCCAGGGAGAAGCUCCAGUGUAUGAAUGACUAGCUCUCUGUGCAUGACAACAAGCAAACGGGAAUAUGCUUCUCU